GGGCUGUUAGCUCAGUUGGUAGAGCAGCGGACUCUUAAUCCGUAGGUCGAGUGUUCGAGCCACUCACAGCCCA
Non-coding RNA from Bordetella flabilis, 73 nucleotides. Lineage: Bacteria; Pseudomonadati; Pseudomonadota; Betaproteobacteria; Burkholderiales; Alcaligenaceae. The record is from Rfam.